GGUUCGGUGGGGAGAGAAGAAGAAACAGAGCAUUGCUCUGUUCUUGGGAAGAAGAAAGAAAUAAAAAAAUAUAUUUUAUGUUGAAAGUCCACCGUGGGAGGGAAAGGGAGAGGAAAUAAAGUUUCUUAUUUUUAUUUUUUUUACUUGUAGAAGAAAGAAGCAUUAGGCUUCAUCUUCAAUCUUUUUACUUUUUGUAAUUAUUUCUUUUUAUGAAAUCAAUUAAUUUUCUUUC
RNAcentral lists this long non-coding RNA (232 nucleotides) under Phoenix dactylifera (date palm). Its description in RNAcentral is "long non-coding RNA (PDAC_LNC016381)". The record is from RNAcentral. Lineage: Eukaryota; Viridiplantae; Streptophyta; Magnoliopsida; Arecales; Arecaceae.